This 912-nucleotide ribosomal RNA is filed under the name Myelochroa aurulenta. RNAcentral's name for it is "eukaryotic LSU rRNA". It matches the Rfam family "Eukaryotic large subunit ribosomal RNA", at positions 71 to 942 of the family's 3401-position model. Lineage: Eukaryota; Fungi; Ascomycota; Lecanoromycetes; Lecanorales; Parmeliaceae. The record is from RNAcentral.
GGGAUUGCCUCAGUAACGGCGAGUGAAGCGGCAAUAGCUCAGAUUUGAAAUCUGGCCCCGUCGGGGUCCGAGUUGUAAUCUGCAGAGAGUGCUUCGGGUGAGACCGCGGUCUAAGUCCCUUGGAACAUGGCCUCAGAGAGGGUGAGAAUCCCGUAUGCGACCGUGGCUCGAACCCGUGUGAAGUCUCUUCGAAGAGUCGAGUUGUUUGGGAAUGCAGCUCAAAGUGGGUGGUAAAUUUCAUCUAAAGCUAAAUACUGGCUGGAGACCGAUAGCGCACAAGUAGAGUGAUCGAAAGAUGAAAAGCACUUUGGAAAGAGAGUCAAAAAGUACGUGAAAUUGUUGAAAGGGAAGCGCUUGCAACCAGACCUGCCCGUAGGCGAUCAGCCGCUGUUCUCAGCGGUGCACUCGCUCUGCGAUCAGGCCAGCAUCGGUUUCGGCGGUUGGAUAAAGGCCUUGGGAAUGUAGCUCCCCUUCGGGGGAGUCUUAUAGCCCUCGGUGCAAUGCGGCCAGCCGAGACCGAGGACCGCGCUUCGGCUAGGAUGCUGGCGUAAUGGUUGUAAGCGACCCGUCUUGAAACACGGACCAAGGAGUCUAACAUCGAUGCGAGUGUUUGGGUGUAAAACCCAUGCGCGGAAUGAAAGUGAACGGAGGUGAGAACCCUGAAGGGCGCAUCAUCGACCGAUCCAGAUGUCUUCGGAUGGAUUUGAGUAUGAGCAUCGCUGUUGGGACCCGAAAGGUAACUUAGCCUGAACUUACUCGAUACUACAGAAUUUAUGCUAAUAUCUUGUCCAGAUGGUGAACUAUGCCUGAAUAGGGUGAAGCCAGAGGAAACUCUGGUGGAGGCUCGCAGCGGUUCUGACGUGCAAAUCGAUCGUCAAAUUUGGGUAUAGGGGCGAAAGACUAAUCGAACCA